This 408-nucleotide ribosomal RNA is filed under the name Scaphiophryne calcarata (Mocquard's rain frog). RNAcentral's name for it is "partial small subunit ribosomal RNA". It matches the Rfam family "Bacterial small subunit ribosomal RNA", at positions 926 to 1533 of the family's 1533-position model. The record is from RNAcentral. Lineage: Eukaryota; Metazoa; Chordata; Amphibia; Anura; Microhylidae.
CACCUAGAGGAGCCUGUUCUAUAAUCGAUUCUCCCCGAUAAACCUCACCACUUCUAGCCAACUCAGCCUGUAUACCUCCGUCGUAAGCUUACCAUAUGAACGCUAAUUAGUGAGCUUAAAGAUCUUUACAUCAACACGUCAGGUCAAGGUGCAGCUCACGAAGUGGGAAGUAAUGGGCUACAAUUUCUAACUUAGAACACACGAAAGACUACAUGAAACACAGUCAUGAAGGCGGAUUUAGCAGUAAAAAGAAAAUAGAGAGUUCUUUUUAAUUAGGCGCUGGGACGCGUACACACCGCCCGUCACCCUCUUCAAACGCCCACAAACGUUAAUUAACACCUAACCGCACCAUAGAAGAGGUAAGUCGUAACACGGUAAGCGUACUGGAAAGUGCGCUUGGACUAACAA